RNAcentral lists this ribosomal RNA (547 nucleotides) under uncultured bacterium. RNAcentral describes it as "bacterial SSU rRNA". It matches the Rfam family "Bacterial small subunit ribosomal RNA", at positions 355 to 896 of the family's 1533-position model. The record is from RNAcentral.
UGGGGAAUAUUGCGCAAUGGGGGGAACCCUGACGCAGCCAUGCCGCGUGAAUGAAGAAGGCCUUAGGGUUGUAAAGUUCUUUCGGUAUUGAGGAAGGUUGAUGUGUUAAUAGCACAUCAAAUUGACGUUAAAUACAGAAGAAGCACCGGCUAACUCCGUGCCAGCAGCCGCGGUAAUACGGAGGGUGCGAGCGUUAAUCGGAAUAACUGGGCGUAAAGGGCACGCAGGCGGUUAUUUAAGUGAGGUGUGAAAGCCCCGGGCUUAACCUGGGAAUUGCAUUUCAGACUGGGUAACUAGAGUACUUUAGGGAGGGGUAGAAUUCCACGUGUAGCAGUGAAAUGCGUAGAGAUGUGGAGGAAUACCGAAGGCGAAGGCAGCCCCUUGGGAAUGUACUGACGCUCAUGUGCGAAAGCGUGGGGAGCAAACAGGAUUAGAUACCCUGGUAGUCCACGCUGUAAACGCUGUCGAUUUGGGGGUUGGGGUUUAACUCUGGCGCCCGUAGCUAACGUGAUAAAUCGACCGCCUGGGGAGUACGGCCGCAAGGUUA